Molecule: long non-coding RNA, 1389 nt
Filed under: Ficedula albicollis (Collared flycatcher)
Lineage: Eukaryota; Metazoa; Chordata; Aves; Passeriformes; Muscicapidae
Description: lncRNA (ENSFALG00000027422.1)
Source: RNAcentral
AGUUCAUCCCAUUCCAACAGAAACCACGGCAGGGACACCUCCCACUGUCCCAGGCUGCUCCAGCCCCAGUGUCCAGCCUGGAACUGGGCACUGCCAGGGAUCCAGGGGCAGCCACAGCUGCUCUGGCAACAUCCCAGCCCCUUCCAGGGAACAAUUCCUAAUUCUCAAGAUCCAAUAGAAGCCUUCUUUCUGGCAGUGUCCAUUCCCUGUGUCCUGUCCCUCCAUUCCCUGUGUCCUGUCCCUCCAUUCCCUGUGUCCUGUCCCUCCAUUCCCUGUGUCCUGUCCCUCCAUUCCCUGUGUCCUGUCCCUCCAUUCCCUGUGUCCUGUCCCUCCAUUCCCUGUGUCCUGUCCCUCCAUUCCCUGUGUCCUGUCCCUCCAUUCCCUGUGUCCUGUCCCUCCAUUCCCUGUGUCCUGUCCCUCCAUUCCCUGUGUCCUGUCCCUCCAUUCCCUGUGUCCUGUCCCUCCAUUCCCUGUGUCCUGUCCCUCCAUUCCCUGUGUCCUGUCCCUCCAUUCCCUGUGUCCUGUCCCUCCAUUCCCUGUGUCCUGUCCCUCCAUUCCCUGUGUCCUGUCCCUCCAUUCCCUGUGUCCUGUCCCUCCAUUCCCUGUGUCCUGUCCCUCCAUUCCCUGUGUCCUGUCCCUCCAUUCCCUGUGUCCUGUCCCUCCAUUCCCUGUGUCCUGUCCCUCCAUUCCCUGUGUCCUGUCCCUCCAUUCCCUGUGUCCUGUCCCUCCAUUCCCUGUGUCCUGUCCCUCCAUUCCCUGUGUCCUGUCCCUCCAUUCCCUGUGUCCUGUCCCUCCAUUCCCUGUGUCCUGUCCCUCCAUUCCCUGUGUCCUGUCCCUCCAUUCCCUGUGUCCUGUCCCUCCAUUCCCUGUGUCCUGUCCCUCCAUCCCUUGGGAAUUGUCUCUCUCCAUGUUUCCUGCAGCUCCUUCAGGCCCUGCAAGGCCACCCUGAGCUCAGCCCAAAGCUUCUCCUGUGCAGGUGAACAAUCCCAGCUGUGCCAGCCUUUCCUGCCAGCAGAGCUGCUCCAUCCUCUGCUCAUCCUGCUGCCUCCUCUGGGCUCUCUGCAGCAGCUCCAGCUCCUCCCUGGGCUGGGGCAGGGCUGGGGCAGCUCUGCAGGUGGGGUCACACCUGGGGGGGCUCAGGGACACAAUCCCAAUCCCAAUCCCUUUCCUGAUCCCACACUGGGCACAGGGGCUCUGGGCUGGGCAGCUCCAGCUCUCCCAGGGCUGCUCCAUCUGCUCAUCCCAGCCUGGAUUCAUCCCAGGGUCAUCCCCACUCAAGUGCUGCCCACGUUAAACCUCACGGGAUUGCCAUGGGCACUCCUGGAGCUGGCCCGGGUCCCUCUGGAUGUCACCCCAGGGCAGCUCCUCCUCAUUCCUGGUGGCUCCUGA